GGAGUUCAGUCUUCCCAGGCCCACCAGCCUUCGCGCUUCGCUGCUUCGGCUAGGCAAGCCCUUCGAAACGAAGGCUGCCGCGCCGUAGCCUCGGCGAAGGCGGGCUAAUCAAACGAGCAUUCGUCUUCUGGUUACGGGGCCAUAGCUCAGCUGGGAGAGCGCGUGCUUUGCAAGCAUGAGGUCGUCGGUUCGAUCCCGUCUGGCUCCACCAGCCUUCGCAGGCUUCGCCUGCUUCGGCUAGGCGAGCCAGUCGGUAGCGAAAGGCUGCCGCGCCGUAGCCGAAAGGCGAAGGCGGGCUACUUCUGAUCCCGUAACCAUCAUCGUCCGCGAAACAUCACUUCGCAUCCUGCUAGUCUGGAUAGACAGCAAGAUGCGUGUUUUCUGACAUCGUAAAGAGGAGAUCGAUCCGAGUUGGGUCGUGCAGCAGAUUGUUGCGCGAAUCCUUCAUUAUCUCCGGAUCAUUUUCGGCGCUCGCUUUCAGCCGUGAGGUUGAAUGCGAGUUGUAAAAUGAUCCUUUUAGCGAAGCUUGACCGCCUCGCUAUCGGAACGAUCUUACGAAGCAAGCUGGUCUUUCUAGUCAAUGUCCGGCUGCAGAUAGCGUUCAUCGAGGGCGCGUGCCGCAAGGCAAUUCUGCAGACAACAUUCUGCCGAGUGUGUGGACAUUGAUAAUGAGAGCAAUCAAGUGCCUUAAGGGUGUUCGGUGGAUGCCUUGGCGCUGAGAGGCGAUGAAGGACGUGCUACGCUGCGAUAAGCC
Molecule: unclassified non-coding RNA, 754 nt
Filed under: Bradyrhizobium sp. STM 3086
Lineage: Bacteria; Pseudomonadati; Pseudomonadota; Alphaproteobacteria; Hyphomicrobiales; Nitrobacteraceae
Description: partial 16S-23S ribosomal RNA intergenic spacer
Rfam family: tRNA (bases 136-208)
Source: RNAcentral